GAAAUGCGAUAAGUAAUGUGAAUUGCAGAAUUCAGUGAAUCAUCGAAUCUUUGAACGCACAUUGCGCCCGCCAGCACUCUGGCGGGCAUGCCUGUUCGAGCGUCAUUUCAACCAUCAAGCCCCCCUCGGGCUUGUGUUGGGGUCCUGCGACUGCCCGCAGGCCCUGAAAACUAGUGGCGGGCCCGCCGCCGCGCCCGAGCGUAGUAGACUUUUCCUUCUCGCCCAGGGCGCGCCGCGGGGUCCCCCGGCCGUUAAACCCACCACCGAAAAACAAGAGGUUGACCUCGGAUCAGGUAGGAAUACCCGCUGAACUUAA
Molecule: unclassified non-coding RNA, 316 nt
Filed under: uncultured Podospora
Lineage: Eukaryota; Fungi; Ascomycota; Sordariomycetes; Sordariales; Lasiosphaeriaceae
Description: sequence contains ITS1
Rfam family: 5.8S ribosomal RNA (bases 1-105)
Source: RNAcentral